RNAcentral lists this transfer RNA (69 nucleotides) under Diplodactylus pulcher (fine-faced gecko). RNAcentral describes it as "tRNA-Tyr". It matches the Rfam family "tRNA". From Rfam's summary of the family: Transfer RNA (tRNA) molecules are approximately 80 nucleotides in length. The record is from RNAcentral. Lineage: Eukaryota; Metazoa; Chordata; Lepidosauria; Squamata; Diplodactylidae.
AGGUAGAAUGGCCGAGCGGUAGGCGGCAGGCUGUAGUCCUGUUAACAUAGGUUUAAUCCCUGUUUUUAC